Molecule: long non-coding RNA, 82 nt
Organism: Nanorana parkeri
Lineage: Eukaryota; Metazoa; Chordata; Amphibia; Anura; Dicroglossidae
Exons: 3
Source: RefSeq, a predicted model, not a curated record
GACUGGUGUGGUACAGAUAUGUUCUAAAAGGGUCAAUACACAUUGGAUUCUUACCCGAUAUCUGUUUCUAUGGAAGAGGCAG